RNAcentral lists this unclassified non-coding RNA (293 nucleotides) under uncultured fungus. Its description in RNAcentral is "partial contains small subunit ribosomal RNA, internal transcribed spacer 1, and 5.8S ribosomal RNA". The stretch from base 1 to 73 matches the Rfam family "Eukaryotic small subunit ribosomal RNA", at positions 1759 to 1831 of the family's 1831-position model. The record is from RNAcentral. Lineage: Eukaryota; Fungi.
GCAAACUUGGUCAUUUAGAGGAAGUAAAAGUCGUAACAAGGUCUCCGUAGGUGAACCUGCGGAGGGAUCAUUACCGAGCGCGCCCCCCGUAAAAAAGGGGGCACCUCCCGUCCUUUUGCCGGCCCCCCCUCUAUUUUUUGGGGGGUGGGGCUUUUCAGACUCUGCUUCGGCGGGGGCGACCCGCCGGAACACCCUCAAGAAAUUCGUCGAACCGUUCCGUCCGAGUGCUUUGCGAAUGAAGAAAAACUUUCAACAACGGAUCUCUUGGUUCUGGCAUCGAUGAAGAACGCAGC